Molecule: ribosomal RNA, 584 nt
Filed under: uncultured Russula
Lineage: Eukaryota; Fungi; Basidiomycota; Agaricomycetes; Russulales; Russulaceae
Description: eukaryotic LSU rRNA
Rfam family: 5.8S ribosomal RNA (bases 200-353)
Source: RNAcentral
GGAUCAUUAUCGUAAAACUGAGGCGCAAGGGCUGUCGCUGACUUUUCGUCGUGCACGCCCAAGUGCUCUCAAACAAUCCAUCUCACCCUGUGCACCACCGCGUGGGUCCCCCUUCUGGCUCGUCCCGAAGGGAGGCCUGCGUUUUCACACAAACUCGAUACAGUGUAGAAUGUCUCCUGCGAUAACACGCAAUUAAUACAACUUUCAACAACGGAUCUCUUGGCUCUCGCAUCGAUGAAGAACGCAGCGAAAUGCGAUACGUAAUGUGAAUUGCAGAAUUCAGUGAAUCAUCGAAUCUUUGAACGCACCUUGCGCCCCUUGGCAUUCCGAGGGGCACACCCGUUUGAGUGUCGUGAAAUUCUCAAAAACCUUUCUUUUGAAAGGAUUUUGGACUUGGAGGCUUUUUGCUGGCUUUUAAGCGAGCUCCUCCCAAAUAAAUUAGUGGGGUCCGCUUUGUCGAUCCGUGACGUGAUAAGAUGUUUUCUACGUCUCGGGUCUGGCGAUGCCUCUUGGGCACCUGCUUCUAACCGUCCGAUGGACAAUGAUGGCGUCCCGGUCACCACCGUUUUAUCGGUUGGGAGGCU